AGAGGUGUCCAGGCAAUGGGACCGCCACCUUCACCCCCUUCAGCACCAACUGGAGGCCAGAGCAAGGUGCUCCUCCCUCAGAGGGCUGCGUCCCCAGCCUCCAGUGGGGAGUUGAGCCUCGUUUCAGGUGUCCAGGCAAUGGGCCCGCCACCUUCACCCCCUUCAGCACCAACUGAAGGGCAGAGAAAGGUGCUCCUCCCUCAGAGGGCUGUAUCACCAGCCUCCAGUGGGAGUUGAGCCUCGUUUCAGGUCCCCACCCCGUGAGCGGACAAUACUCACUGAAACGCUCCAGAAGUCCUGUGGCCUGUGUGAAAGGCAAAAGACAAAGAAUAAAAAGAAAUACAGCAUGCAGUGUCACUGUCAAAACAAUUGACAGUGUUGUUGGACAGAGGUUCAACAAAAUAUUGCUAAAUAUGAAUGAAAUACGCAAGAACACUUUUAGGGUAAAUUGGAAACAAGCAAAAAUUCAAUAUGACAGAAAGUACAAACACUUGCAUGGAAUAAAUCACAAAGCAUUGCGUAGUGUCUUCAGUUUUUAUAAACAACAUUUAUAACAUAAUAUACAUUUCAUGGUGCAUUGGGAAAUAAUUAUUAUAGUUUUAUUUGUAUUGUAAGAAUUCAUUCAUGAAAAUUUGUAUGGAACAUUUUACAUUUCAUGGUGCAUUGGGAAAUAAUUAUUAGUUUUAUUUGUAUUAUAAGAAUUAAUUCAUGAAAAUUUGUAUGGAA
This 726-nucleotide unclassified non-coding RNA is filed under the name Portunus trituberculatus (swimming crab). RNAcentral's name for it is "wiskott-Aldrich syndrome protein family member 3- like, transcript variant X1". The record is from RNAcentral. Lineage: Eukaryota; Metazoa; Arthropoda; Malacostraca; Decapoda; Portunidae.